CCUACGGGUGGCAGCAGUGGGGAAUAUUGGACAAUGGGGGGAACCCUGAUCCAGCCAUGCCGCGUGUGUGAAGAAGGCCCUCGGGUUGUAAAGCACUUUCAGUGAGGAAGAACGCCUUGUGGUUAAUACCCAUCAGGAAAGACAUCACUCACAGAAGAAGCACCGGCUAACUCCGUGCCAGCAGCCGCGGUAAUACGGAGGGUGCGAGCGUUAAUCGGAAUUACUGGGCGUAAAGCGCGCGUAGGUGGCUUGAUAAGCCGGUUGUGAAAGCCCCGGGCUCAACCUGGGAACGGCAUCCGGAACUGUCAAGCUAGAGUGCAGGAGAGGAAGGUAGAAUUCCCGGUGUAGCGGUGAAAUGCGUAGAGAUCGGGAGGAAUACCAGUGGCGAAGGCGGCCUUCUGGACUGACACUGACACUGAGGUGCGAAAGCGUGGGUAGCAAACAGGAUUAGAUACCCUGGUAGUC
RNAcentral lists this ribosomal RNA (465 nucleotides) under Vreelandella stevensii. Its description in RNAcentral is "partial 16S ribosomal RNA". It matches the Rfam family "Bacterial small subunit ribosomal RNA", at positions 338 to 795 of the family's 1533-position model. The record is from RNAcentral. Lineage: Bacteria; Pseudomonadati; Pseudomonadota; Gammaproteobacteria; Oceanospirillales; Halomonadaceae.